This 495-nucleotide ribosomal RNA is filed under the name uncultured bacterium. RNAcentral describes it as "partial 16S ribosomal RNA". It matches the Rfam family "Bacterial small subunit ribosomal RNA", at positions 28 to 507 of the family's 1533-position model. The record is from RNAcentral.
GACGAACGCUGGCGUCGUGCCUAAUACAUGCAAGUAGAACGCUGAAGGAGGAGCUUGCUUCUCUGGAUGAGUUGCGAACGGGUGAGUAACGCGUAGGUAACCUGCCUGGUAGCGGGGGAUAACUAUUGGAAACGAUAGCUAAUACCGCAUAAUAGCAGUUGUUGCAUGACAACUGUUUGAAAGGUGCAAUUGCACCACUACCAGAUGGACCUGCGUUGUAUUAGCUAGUUGGUGGGGUAACGGCUCACCAAGGCGACGAUACAUAGCCGACCUGAGAGGGUGAUCGGCCACACUGGGACUGAGACACGGCCCAGACUCCUACGGGAGGCAGCAGUAGGGAAUCUUCGGCAAUGGACGGAAGUCUGACCGAGCAACGCCGCGUGAGUGAAGAAGGUUUUCGGAUCGUAAAGCUCUGUUGUAAGAGAAGGACGAGUGUGAGAGUGGAAAGUUCACACUGUGACGGUAUCUUACCAGAAAGGGACGGCUAACUACGUG